UCUCCGUAGGUGAACCUGCGGAGGGAUCAUUACUGAGUGAGGGCUUCGGUCCGACCUCCAACCCUUUGUGAAUCGUACUCGUUGCUUCGGGGGCGACCCUGCCGUUCGCGGCGCGGCGCCCCCGGGGUCAAUCAAACACUGCAUUCUCUGCGUCGGAGUAUUAGUAAAUCUAAUCAAAACUUUCAACAACGGAUCUCUUGGUUCUGGCAUCGAUGAAGAACGCAGC
This 226-nucleotide unclassified non-coding RNA is filed under the name uncultured fungus. RNAcentral's name for it is "sequence contains ITS1, 5.8S rRNA gene". The stretch from base 178 to 226 matches the Rfam family "5.8S ribosomal RNA", at positions 1 to 49 of the family's 154-position model. The record is from RNAcentral. Lineage: Eukaryota; Fungi.